GUCGAAAGUUCGAUCACACUAUCCAAAGGACUUUUAUCUUGUGUCGCCAAGCUAGCUUAGAGAUCGAGGAAUGUCGAAGCUCGAUUCACACUAUCAAACGAUUGUUUUGGGUAUACUUGAUUUCAAUAUUUUGAGUAUGGCAUGUAUAGGGACUUGGUCAUUUUAUUACGUGUCAUAUUGGUUUAGCCAAAUGUGUUGGCAUUGUAAUGGUUAAUGAUUCCUUUUGUAUAUGGCCAUUGGAAGUUGGCUAAUAUUAUUCUUAUUGAUCAUUGGUAUAUUUAUGUGGUGAUGCUUAUCAUGAAGAUGAAUUUGGCAUGAAUGGAAAAGAAA
Gossypium arboreum is the source of this 330-nucleotide long non-coding RNA. RefSeq lists it as uncharacterized. The record is from RefSeq and is a predicted model, not a curated record. The transcript has 2 exons. Lineage: Eukaryota; Viridiplantae; Streptophyta; Magnoliopsida; Malvales; Malvaceae.